This is a non-coding RNA of Sturnus vulgaris (Common starling), 199 nucleotides long. NCBI's taxonomy places the organism in Eukaryota, Metazoa, Chordata, Aves, Passeriformes, Sturnidae. The record is from RefSeq and is a predicted model, not a curated record.
CACCCGGGCACUGGCGGGGCAGAGCCGCAGACUGCAGGCACAGGUGGAAUCCUUCGAAAGCUGGAUGCGUGCAGGGACCCCAACACUCUCGGAACAGCUCCAGAGGAUGAGGAUGCUGAAGGACGCGCAGGAUGCGCUGGAGCGGGAAUACCUGCGGUGCCGGCAGCAGCUCCCGGAGGCUGCGGGAGGGUUUGACCCU